Molecule: transfer RNA, 75 nt
Filed under: Ktedonobacter sp. 13_1_20CM_3_54_15
Lineage: Bacteria; Bacillati; Chloroflexota; Ktedonobacteria; Ktedonobacterales; Ktedonobacteraceae
Also listed under: 11 other names
Description: tRNA-Gly
Rfam family: tRNA
About the family: Transfer RNA (tRNA) molecules are approximately 80 nucleotides in length.
Source: RNAcentral
GCGGGAGUGGCUCAGUGGUAGAGCAUCUCCUUGCCAAGGAGAAAGUCGCGGGUUCGAUCCCCGUCUCCCGCUCCA